RNAcentral lists this transfer RNA (84 nucleotides) under Dehalococcoidia bacterium. RNAcentral's name for it is "tRNA-Leu". It matches the Rfam family "tRNA". From Rfam's summary of the family: Transfer RNA (tRNA) molecules are approximately 80 nucleotides in length. Their secondary structure includes four short double-helical elements and three loops (D, anti-codon, and T loops). Further hydrogen bonds mediate the characteristic L-shaped molecular structure. tRNAs have two regions of fundamental functional importance: the anti-codon, which is responsible for specific mRNA codon recognition, and the 3' end, to which the tRNAs corresponding amino acid is attached (by aminoacyl-tRNA synthetases). tRNAs cope with the degeneracy of the genetic code in two manners: having more than one tRNA (with a specific anti-codon) for a particular amino acid; and 'wobble' base-pairing, i.e. permitting non-standard base-pairing at the 3rd anti-codon position. Lineage: Bacteria; Bacillati; Chloroflexota; Dehalococcoidia. The record is from RNAcentral.
GCCGAGGUGGCGGAAUGGCAGACGCGGCGGACUUAAAAUCCGCUCUCCGCUAAGGAGGUGUGGGUUCGAGUCCCUCCCUCGGCA